UACAGAGGUCUCAAGCGUUGUUCGGAUUCAUUGGGCGUAAAGGGUGCGUAGGCGGCGCGGUAAGUCGGGUGUGAAAUCUCGGAGCUUAACUCCGAAACUGCAUUCGAUACUGCCGUGCUUGAGGACUGGAGAGGAGACUGGAAUUUACGGUGUAGCGGUGAAAUGCGUAGAGAUCAUGAGGAAGACCAGUGGCGAAGGCGGGUCUCUGGACAGUUCCUGACACUGAGACACGAAGGCCAGGGGAGCAAACGGG
This 253-nucleotide ribosomal RNA is filed under the name uncultured bacterium. RNAcentral describes it as "partial 16S ribosomal RNA". It matches the Rfam family "Bacterial small subunit ribosomal RNA", at positions 524 to 776 of the family's 1533-position model. The record is from RNAcentral.